CACCACAGCAGCAUGUGGAUGACAGCCAUAGAGGACUCCGGGGGGAAAACACAUUUCAGACGCACUGAGAGAAGAAGUUAAGGUGCUAAGGUCCGGGUGGUAUCGGAUCACUGAGUGAAGAAGUGGUGCAGGUUGCUACCAUGCUAAGGACCUUUGCUGCUACUGG
This is a long non-coding RNA of Oncorhynchus gorbuscha (pink salmon), 166 nucleotides long. RefSeq lists it as uncharacterized. The record is from RefSeq and is a predicted model, not a curated record. The transcript has 3 exons. NCBI's taxonomy places the organism in Eukaryota, Metazoa, Chordata, Actinopteri, Salmoniformes, Salmonidae.